This 436-nucleotide ribosomal RNA is filed under the name uncultured Endogone. Its description in RNAcentral is "eukaryotic LSU rRNA". It matches the Rfam family "Eukaryotic large subunit ribosomal RNA", at positions 38 to 469 of the family's 3401-position model. Lineage: Eukaryota; Fungi; Mucoromycota; Endogonomycetes; Endogonales; Endogonaceae. The record is from RNAcentral.
GCAUAUCAAUAAGCGGAGGAAAAGAAACUAACAAGGAUUCCCCUAGUAACGGCGAGUGAAGCGGGAAAAGCUCAAAUUUUAAAUCUGAUAGUAUUACCUAUCCGAGUUGUAGUUUCAAGAGACGUUUUCGGUCCGCGCCUGGGUAUAAGUCCUUUGGAACAGGGCAUCAUAGAGGGUGAGAAUCCCGUUUAUGACUCGGAGUAGCAGACUAUGUGAUACGUUUUCAAAGAGUCAGGUUGUUUGGGAAUGCAGCCUAAAAUGGGUGGUAAAUUUCAUCUAAAGCUAAAUAUUGGCGAGAGACCGAUAGCGAACAAGUACCGUGAGGGAAAGAUGAAAAGAACUUUGAAAAGAGAGUUAAACAGUACGUGAAAUUGUUGAAAGGGAAACGUUUGAAAUCAGUCAUGUAAACAAGUAAUCAAUUUGGCUUUUUUUUUUU